CACGCUGUAAACGAUGGGUACUAGGUUUGGUGGGUCUUGACCCCCGCCGAACCGGAGCUAACGCGAUAAGUACCCCGCCUGGGAAGUACGGUCGCAAGACUAAAACUCAAAGGAAUUGACGGGGGCCCGCACAAGCGGUGGAUCAUGUGGUUUAAUUCGAAGCAACGCGAAGAACCUUACCUGGAUUUGACAUCCUUGGACAAACGCAGAGAUGCGUCUUUCGUAGCAAUACGACCAAGUGACAGGUGC
Molecule: ribosomal RNA, 249 nt
Filed under: uncultured bacterium
Lineage: Bacteria
Description: partial 16S ribosomal RNA
Rfam family: Bacterial small subunit ribosomal RNA
Source: RNAcentral